AGCAGCGUAGCUGAACAUCUUACGGAUGGCCCAGGGCUCCAAAGGCUCGUUUCCUAAGUGAGAGAGAGCCUGGCUGAAGCUGUAUUACCAUUCAUUCUCCAGCCUCCGAAGUCUCAAAGCAUCACUUCCACCAUACUCUAACUGUCAAGACAAACACAAAGGCCCAGAAAGAAGAAUACACUAUCGAUGUUCCUUUUAAACAAGUAUUUGAGUAAAAGCGAUGUUUCCAAUGUGUGUCAGAAAGUGAAUACUUGUAUAUUUCCGCACGGUUAGAGCUGAGCUUUCCGAGCAAAUUUUACUGGGACCCGGUUGAAAGACAGGUCUUGGAAGUGAAAUGAUGACUGACUAGAUGACAUUACAUGUAAAUGGAAUCAUACAAUAUGUGAUCUUUUGUGACUGGCUUCUUUCACUUAGCAUAACGUUUUCAAGAAACUGCCAGACUGUCUUCUGAAGUGGCUAUAAUAUUUACACUCCCAUCAGCAGUGUAGAAGGGGUCUCACUAUGUUGUCUGGAGUGCUGUGGUGGAGUGGAGUGGCUAUUCACAG
RNAcentral lists this long non-coding RNA (545 nucleotides) under Homo sapiens (human). Its description in RNAcentral is "non-protein coding LINC00635:19". Lineage: Eukaryota; Metazoa; Chordata; Mammalia; Primates; Hominidae. The record is from RNAcentral.